UUAUCUUAGCUAUCUUAGGUGUCAUACUAUUCCAUUCAGGUGAAAUUGUUGUAGACAGAGAUGCAAAAUCUUAUUCGUUAUGUUUUUGGGGGUUGUUUGCUUGUUUGUUUUGAGAUAGAGUCUCACUCUGUAGUUCAGGCUGGCCUUGAACUCACUACGUAGCCCUGGCUAUCCUCAAACUUGCCACGAUCCUCCUGCCUCAGCCUCCCGAGUGCUGGGACUACAGGCGUGUGCCACCACGCCUGGCAAACCCCCAGGAUCUUGAAGAAACUAAAAACAGGCCAGCUGCAACACAGACUGAGAGCAAGCAUGAUGUGGGACAAGGUUGAGAAGUGAAAACAAAGAACGGUGAUGAAGGACCAAGGCUCUCCCACCCAUACUCAGAAAAAUAACGAUAAACAUGAUAGAAAAGAGAAAUCAACGAGAAGAGCGGCGAGGCGGAAAGGUCCAUCCGAUCCAUCCAAGCGUCCUCCUCAGCCGCAGCCAGGACGGACAAACUUCAGACCCAGGCCAGCGGCUCGCCAGGCCUGCGCUCAGGGCCACCCGGACGCGAGCGAGAGCAGAAGGGAGCGUAGCCUUCCAGCCCCGCAGAGGGCGGGUGCCGGGCGGAGCCAGACCGCGAGGAUCAAGGAGGGGUGAGUCACGGAGAGGAAGAGGAAGCAGCGCUCGGUGGGGACCGGAGGAGAAACGGGGCCUAGCUGAGAGAGGGCGGCCCUUCGAGGCCCUUUCUUUCCAAACCGGAGAGACCGGGGUUUCUGAGAAGGAGACCAGAGAGCCAGGACAAAGGAGCCACUUAGAAUGUGAAUGAGAAAGUACUCACGUGACCAACGCCCGGAGCGGCUGGUGGAGCCCCCAGCAGUGCCAAGUUUGAGCCCAGCGUGGGCAACUGGGUCUUGCUAAAUAUAGUCCAGGCUCACCGUGGCUGCCUCACUGCUCACUGAAUGCUGGACUGCAGGCUUCACCACCACUCCCUGGUCUACACGAUUUUUAAUGUAUUGAUACAUUUAAUUCUCACCAUCAUCUUAUAUGUGGGGCCCAAAGUAACCUGGGCCAAUAUUUUAUUGGCCGGACAGCUCCAGACAUUAGAAGGAAGCUCCAAAAACUCCAACAGGCCCUCAGACAGGAGUGCAUCAACUGGUCAACUUGGCUUUCAUGGAGUUUAACAACGAGACGGAGAGGACAAAUGGGAAUUAAGUAAGGAAGACAGACUAAAGACAUGCUGGUCCUCACGCAUCAGGUCCAUAACAAAGUCCACAGCACCAAGGGGAUCCGGGGUAACCUACAAAGUGACAGAGGGAAGUCUGGGUACUUUAUGUGCAAGCAGUUGGGACACUGGGCUAAAGAGUGACCUCAAAAGCCCAAGUUCAUCAGAAUAGAGGUGAGGGAGGCUGAGGCAUGAGGAUCACCAUGAGUUAGUCUGAGGGCAGGCUGGGCUACAUAAUGAGACCCUGUCUCAAAAAAAAAAAAAAAAAAUGGGUGAGGACCCUUGGCACUGGAGGAGGGGCUGCCCUGGUUCCCAGAAGGGGUCAAGGUCAUCCACCACCAUGGCAGCCAGGGAAGAACGCCCAGAAUUCAGUGUGCAAGGACAUCCCCAUGACCUUGGAAGACUCUUGGGCAACUCUGGGCAUCACAGGGAUACAAGGGCCUCUUACUCUAUCCCAACCUCCCAUGGGACAAAUUGUCAUCCCAUUCCUCAGCUGUGUGGGCCUUGAAGGAGGUAACUAGUCAGUUUUCCCUACAACCCCCAACUGCUGGUUGGGGGGAUUUCCUAUCCAAAUCGCCUUCAUGCUAAUACCAGCAUGCCCCGCACCAGUCACUGGAAGAUCUGUUCCUCCUGUUCGAGGCCACCUUGUCAUUCAAACCUCUGGCAACUCAUGUCAUACUUGCCAGGAACCCAGCCAACCUGGCCCUGUCGAGCCCAGUUCCUUUGCCAGGAGUUGAUCCCGAAACUUGGCAUGAUGGCACCCUGGGGUGGGUGAUCGAUCACUCAGCUCAAGGAUGCUAACCUAUACCCUCAUAAAAAGGCAACACCCCCUCCAAAGAGAGGCUCCACCAGGCUAGAGCCCAUUAUUGAUAAAUUUUUGGCUGCAGGAUGGCUAUAGCCACUCCAGGCCCUGUGUAACACACCUAUCUUAACAGUGGUCAAAACACUAGGCGAACAUCGCCUAGUGCAAGAUCUCAGUCAUCAGUGAGGCCUGGUGCCUACUUCCACCCCGGGGGCACAGCCCACACACAGCAGGGAUCCUGGGAGAUACCAGCUGGGUCCAUCCUUCAUUCCAAAGAAGCUUCCUUUUCUAUCCCCUUGGGCCCUAGCUCCCAGUACUUGUUUGCCUUCUAACUGAGGAUCCCCAAAAUCGGCCCCACUAGCAGUCCUGCUAGACUGUCUUGCCUUAGGGUUUAGAGACAGCACUCCUUUCCCACACCCUGGAAAGCUAAACGUGGACAAAGGAGGCCUAGUACAAGCCUCUCAGAACCUUUGGCAUUCCUAGAGCAACAACAGUGUCUUGUUAUUCAUACAGAGCCCUUCCAGGAACUCGGGGUUCAGACUACAGAGGUAACUUAGGUGCAGAACUCACACAGCCUUGGGCUAGGGUAGGUCCUCCAGAGGGACCAAAGGAUUUCUGGGUUGGGAUUUUCACCCCAACCCAGGGCCCCCAGAGACGGAAGGUGGAUACCUUGCCCUAAGUAUCUGUUCAUCUGUUCAGCCACCUGCAUCCUUUAUGAUGUCAGACUUUAAUCUUAAUAGCAGUAUAGGAUUUGUUUUAGUGAUUUUUAAUAGCAUUCCUGAUCAUUCAAUAAAGAGAAAUGAAAGUGAAAAAAAAUUUUUUAUAAACUUUUUAUCUUUAGAUAAUUAGAAUAAAGAAAUGCAAGAUAGCCAGGGAUUUAGCUCAGUGGUUUCGGCGCCUGCCUCACAAGUCCAAGGUCCCAAGUUCGAUCCCCGGUACCGAAAAAAAAAGAAAAGAAAAGAAAUGCAAGAUAAAUGCUUUCUAAACAACAUCUGGAUAGUAUCUUUUCUGUGACAUGUAUUUUCACUUUUCUUUAUAAAAAGUAUAGACAUAGGGCUGGGGAUUUAGCUCGGUGGUUUCGCCGCCUGCUGUGCAAGCGCAAGGGCCUGAAUUCGAUGCCCAGUACCAAAAAAAAAAAA
This 3145-nucleotide long non-coding RNA is filed under the name Heterocephalus glaber (naked mole-rat). RNAcentral describes it as "lncRNA (ENSHGLG00100040332.1)". The record is from RNAcentral. Lineage: Eukaryota; Metazoa; Chordata; Mammalia; Rodentia; Bathyergidae.